GUGCAUUUUAACCAAAAACUGAAUAAUUCGCGUCUGAAACAGAAAUUAAAACAAAGCUAUCAAAUCAAAUUGGUAUUAUGGGUAAUAUGAGAACACAACGGGUGCCACAUGUGGAACAGGAUAUGCUUUCCCUUCCGGAACACUUGAGAUCACCCAAGUUUUUGGUGGGGUUUGUGUUGCUCAGUCCUUGUUUCCUAUGUUGUGUUCUGUGAACUAUUUUUUGUCUGUUUAUCUAUUUCUUUUUUAUCCAUGGCGAUGUCAGUUUAUUUUCGAUUUAUGAGUUUGAAUGUCCCUCUGAUAUCUGCCAUCUUUUGCCCCUCUUUUUAAGCGCAAUAUUUCCACGAUGAAUAAAUUGGGGUUCUAAUGAUGUACUGGUUGGUUGUUGUUUUUUGUUUGUUCUUUUUUUUCGGGGGGGGGGGGGGUACAUGUAUAUAUCUUAUAUGCAGUAUAGUGAUUACUAAAAAGCUGUAUGUUUAGUAAAACGGCGAAGACGAAAUCAUGUACUUUUUAAGUAAGUUACUCACGUGCAUGCGAUAACUUAACAAAGGUUAAGGCACUUUUAUUCUAAAAAUGAUCCUAGUAAGAUCAGUUUCACAUUUAACGGCGCAUAUCUAAUCUAAAAAUCCGAGCUAUUAAAUCACGCGAUAAUUCC
RNAcentral lists this long non-coding RNA (652 nucleotides) under Mytilus galloprovincialis (Mediterranean mussel). The record is from RNAcentral. Lineage: Eukaryota; Metazoa; Mollusca; Bivalvia; Mytilida; Mytilidae.